AUUGAACGCUGGCGGCAUGCUUUACACAUGCAAGUCGAACGGCAGCGCGGGCUUCGGCCUGGCGGCGAGUGGCGAACGGGUGAGUAAUGCAUCGGAACGUGCCCAGUAGUGGGGGAUAGCCCGGCGAAAGCCGGAUUAAUACCGCAUACGACCUGAGGGUGAAAGCGGGGGACCGAAAGGCCUCGCGCUAUUGGAGCGGCCGAUGUCGGAUUAGCUAGUUGGUGGGGUAAAGGUUUACCAAGGCGACGAUCCGUAGCUGGUCUGAGAGGACGACCAGCCACACUGGGACUGAGACACGGCCCAGACUCCUACGGGAGGCAGCAGUGGGGAAUUUUGGACAAUGGGGGCAACCCUGAUCCAGCCAUGCCGCGUGCGAGAAGAAGGCCUUCGGGUUGUAAACCGCUUUUGUUCGGGAAGAAAUCCUCUGGGCUAAUACCCCGGGGGGAUGACGGUACCGGAAGAAUAAGCACCGGCUAACUACGUG
Molecule: ribosomal RNA, 484 nt
Filed under: uncultured bacterium
Lineage: Bacteria
Description: partial 16S ribosomal RNA
Rfam family: Bacterial small subunit ribosomal RNA
Source: RNAcentral